Molecule: ribosomal RNA, 2751 nt
Filed under: Triticum aestivum (bread wheat)
Lineage: Eukaryota; Viridiplantae; Streptophyta; Magnoliopsida; Poales; Poaceae
Description: partial small subunit ribosomal RNA
Source: RNAcentral
GUCAUCAAGGCGGACUCCAUUGAUGUGGCUGUCGAAAGGAUUCUUCGUGAACUUGGGUCGGACACUAGAAGAAGCAACAAUAGAGGGAAUGCCAUCUACUUUGAUGGCUGGGAUGGCCUUGGGGCAUCUGCCGUCCUGCAAGCCAUAGCCAAACGCCUCACACCAUCAAAUGAUGCAUUGGCUAGGCCUGCUGGGCUGGAGUUUCAGAGAAUCAUUCACAUCGAUUGCUCAAAGUGGGAGAACAGAAGAGUAGUGCAGAGGAAAAUCGCACAGCAGCUGGAGCUUCCCAGCUGGGUGAUGGACAUGUUUGACAAGGAAGAUGAGGAGGAUGAUUUCAAUGGGUUAGACCAAGGCUCCCGCGGUGAGAUAGAACAAGUUAACGCAGAGAUCAAUCAAGCUAUACAGAUUUCCAGGUUCCUGGUGAUCCUGCACAAUGGAGGCAAUGAAGAGAUUGAUAUAUCACAUUUUAGUCUUUAUCUAUAUGGGUAUGCCAAUAGCAAGAUGUUGUGGACUUUCCGAGGGAGGUUUCGACUUGACCCCAAGGUGAUAGACAAUGUGAAGAAGAGCACAACAACACAUGCUAUUAUUUCAGCUUCCAGUGGUGGGCGAGAUCCGCAAAACCUUUGGUCUUAUCUAGUGCACCAUGAGGCUGCACAAGUUUCCCGCAAUAAGGAUGGUCAUUGCAUCAUUGAUCCGGCAAUUGCUGCUGAGUGUGCCAAAUAUAUGCUGAAACGAUGCUGCAUUGGCCCUCACAUCGUUGACUAUGACUGGGUUGUCCAUACCAGUAACUACUGGGUAUGCGAUGGGAUCAUCGCACUGGCAGACAUUGAGAGAGCUUGGCAAGUUGGAGAUGUUCUGCAGCGUGAGCUGCGUUUGUUGGGCACUGAAAACCGGCAUAAUAUUGGUGAUUUAACAAUAAUGCCUUCCUCUCACUUGUCAAGGUCUACCGAGCAUAUUCCGUACUGGAUUUCAAAAGCAACUUGUCGAUUUGUGCUCAGCCCCUCUGCAGUUAUGCCCGAUGACAUGUUUCAGCACUCACACCGGCUCGGCGUGCUCAAGCUCUCAAGGUGUACCUUCAGCUUCUAAUUGCCUCCAUUCCUAUGUUGCCACAGCCUGAGAUUCCUGUGGCUUGAUCACUGCCAAGACAUCCAAACAAGAACACACAACAUAGAUGCAGAAAAGGAGGAGGAGUUGGACCACAACACCAUAGUGUUGUGGGAAUGCUUCCAAAGCUUGUGGGUGCUUGACCUGCGCCACACGGAUUGUUAUAAGAUCUUGUCAGCGAGGGUGAUGGAUCUCAUGAUCCAGCUGAGGGAGCUAAACGUGAUGGGAGCCAGGAACUGGGACAUGAGCCAUCUACAGGGACGGCUGCGUAACAUUCGCAAGCUCCGAUCCACCUGCUACUUCAACAACAAUGUGUUAUCAGAUAUGGGGAACAUGGAGCUUCUUGAUUUUUCUGGAAAUAUCAUCAGACAAGGCAUGACAAUCUUAUCUGGGCCAGAAAGCAACAAUAGCCUCAGAACUGUGAUUAUUGGUGGAUGUGAUGGGUUGAAAAUUAUCUCUUUUAGGGGAUGCAAAGAAUUGAAGAACCUGUUCUUGAAAGGAUCAUUGGGGAAUAUCAAUGAGCUGGACCUCUCGGGCACAAGAGUAAAAACGCUCGACUUUGGAGGAGUGGAAACCAGUUCAAUCCCCAAGAAGCUUAUCUUGCUAGGCUGCGAGAAGCUCCGGGCAAUAUUGUGGCCUCAGAAGGUAGUAAGGGAAGGAUGGUUUGGUGUGCUUAAAGAAGAAAUAUUUAAGGCUCAAUGGCGGAUUUCUAUCAUGGAUACAAGGUUUCUUAGGUCGCUUUCUCCUGUAAGAUGGUAUUUAGGAGGCUCAUCCAUACAUAUUGAUGUCUGCCAUGCAGCUAGCGUCGGUGGUAGCAACAUCCAAGGAACAAGCAGUGACGAACUAGUGCAAGUUCAACCGCAUACAAGUACCUUAAUGGACUCGAAGUACAGAGAUAUACUGAAGGGCGGCCCAGUUCCAACAGAUACUUGUGCUUUAUUAUUGCCUCAUUUUCUAUGUGAAGCGGCUACAUCACUGCACGUGUACGAUAACCCAGCCAUCACCAGUAUCCCUGCACCACCCCAAGGAUCGGGAUGGAGAAGUAUAAGAUGGUGCCGAAUCGAGAGUCUUGAUGACAGUAAUGUGAAGAGCUUUUUCUGGCUGGAGACAUUCUGGGCCUCCCAGCUCCUCUCUGCAUGCUACAUCUGGGACAGGCCAACCCAAAGCUACUUUUAUAACCUGAACCUCUUGCAUCUAGACCAUUGCCCCAGGCUCGUACAUGUUCUCCCCUUCUCCAAAUGGGAGGGAGACACCUUGGGUGCACUGGAAACCCUCGAGAUAGUGUCAUGCGGUGAUCUCAGGGAGGUCUUCCCUUUGGACCCUCAGCUUCAAAAGCAGGAUAAAAUUCUAGAAUUUCCAAAGCUGAGGCACAUCCACCUGCACGAGCUCCCCAUGCUGUAGCACAUCAGUGGGUGCAGGAUGUGGGCACCUAAACUCGAGACCAUCAAGAUCAGGGGCUGUUGCAGCCUCAAGCGUCUGCCAUUAAUCGGACGCAACACCAUGCCGCCCAAGGUGGAUUGUGAGAAGGAAUGGUGGUACAACCUGGAGUGGGAUGGGUUGGAGAAGUACCACCAUCCUUCCCUCUACGAGCCGAGCCACUCGUUGUACUAGAAGGCCCAGCUGCCCAAAGGUACCCUACUCAGGUGA